Molecule: ribosomal RNA, 397 nt
Filed under: uncultured soil bacterium
Lineage: Bacteria
Description: bacterial SSU rRNA
Rfam family: Bacterial small subunit ribosomal RNA
Source: RNAcentral
AGAACGAACGCUGGCGGCAUGCCUAAUACAUGCAAGUCGGACGAAGGCUUCGGCCUUAGUGGCGCACGGGUGCGUAACGCGUGGGAAUCUGCCCCUUGGUUCGGAAUAACAGUUGGAAACGACUGCUAAUACCGGAUGAUGACGAAAGUCCAAAGAUUUAUCGCCAAGGGAUGAGCCCGCGUAGGAUUAGCUAGUUGGUGAGGUAAAGGCUCGCCAAGGCGACGAUCCUUAGCUGGUCUGAGAGGAUGAUCAGCCACACUGGGACUGAGACACGGCCCAGACUCCUACGGGAGCAGCAGUAGGGAAUAUUGGACAAGUGGGACGAAAGCCGUAGAUCCGAGCAAUGCCGCGUGAGUGAUAGAAGUCCGUUAGGUUACGUAAAGCUUACUUUACCGAG